RNAcentral lists this ribosomal RNA (388 nucleotides) under uncultured bacterium. RNAcentral describes it as "bacterial SSU rRNA". It matches the Rfam family "Bacterial small subunit ribosomal RNA", at positions 28 to 414 of the family's 1533-position model. The record is from RNAcentral.
GACGAACGCUGGCGGCGUGCUUAACACAUGCAAGUCGAGCGGUAAGGCCCUUUCGGGGGGUACACGAGCGGCGAACGGGUGAGUAACACGUGGGUGACCUGCCCUCAGCUCUGGGAUAAGCCCGGGAAACUGGGUCUAAUACUGGAUAUGACUCCAUGACGCAUGUUGUGGGGUGGAAAGCCUUGUGCGGCUGGGGAUGGGCCCGCGGCCUAUCAGCUUGUUGGUGGGGUGAUGGCCUACCAAGGCGACGACGGGUAGCCGGCCUGGGAGGGCGACCGGCCACACUGGGACUGAGACACGGCCCAGACUCCGUACGGGAGGCAGCAGGUGGGGAAUCUUGCGCAAUGGGCGAAAGCCUGACGCAGCGACGCCGCGUGAGGGAUGACGG